Molecule: long non-coding RNA, 1269 nt
Filed under: Mustela putorius furo (domestic ferret)
Lineage: Eukaryota; Metazoa; Chordata; Mammalia; Carnivora; Mustelidae
Description: lncRNA (ENSMPUG00000029509.1)
Source: RNAcentral
UUUAAAGGUGAAGAGACUGGAGAUCAAAGAGGUUAAAUGACUUUCGCAGGAUCGCCAGCAAAUGAACACCUUGAACUGUAGUUUUUAACCUCUAAAACCAGAUGCCUUUAACCAUGGUCCUAAACCACCAGCUCACUCGGUAGCCAGUGAGCUGAGGGAAGGACAGGUCAGAGGAGAAAGGCAUCAGCCACCACAUUAAGCCGCCUUGACAGGAAGGGAUAUAUACGGGGGCAAAGAUGGGGAGCUUGGUAGGGAUGAGGCCCUGGGCACACAGACGUGGUGCUGUUUAGACAUGGCAGUGACCUCCCCGCCCAGAGGAGGUGAGCCCUGAGCAGCAGUUCCAGCCAGCCUCAGCUGACCCGGGUGAGGUGUUUUGUCGUUUGUCGUGUUGUGCUGCUCGUUUGUCACACACAUCCUUUGUGGCCUGUAGCAAAUCAUCUGCCUCUUUGGGUUUGUGCAUUAUCCCUGCUUUACCUUCCCCAGCGUUGUUGCGUGGAACAAAUGAGGGGUUGAUAUGACACAACUCAGUAAUCCUACUUGUCGGAAUGUAUUGUACUAAGAUAAAAGAAGGGAAACAACCAUAAGGCAGGAAAUUUGCUGUUCCACUCACACAGAGCUUCUUCACGUCGCUUUCUCUCUGUGGCUCUCACCUCAGACCUCCACUUGGCUGCUGGCCAUCAGGUGACCUCAGGUGGGACUUUGCUGAGAAACAGAGGCAACCAGAUGGUGCCCCAUCUUCCCUGCUGACCCACUUGCCCCCACGCCUGGGUUCUCUGCUCGCCCUCCUGCCCCUCUGGAAGGCCGUCCCCGAUGCUGUCAGAGGCCAGUCCUCACCUGAGUUCUGGUCCUGGGCACACUCCUGACUGGCUGCAAGAAAUCAUCCCUUGAGGUUAGGAGGCCUCUUACCACGGAUGUGCUAAAACAGAGCUGUGUCUUCCCACCCUCCUGCCUGGAGUCGCACCUCUUCUUCCUCGUUUCAGUAAGUGGCACAGGGCACCCCCAGCCAUGUCAUUGCUGAAGCCAGAAACUCGGAGGUAAUCUCUGAUUCUCUCUUUGCCCUCCCGGCACGUUCACUCCAUCAGCAAAUCCUACUGGCCCAGCUUUGAAGCUGUCUCCGGAGUCUGCUCCUGCCACACCUUCCACCUGUCCUGUCCAGUUACCAAGCGUGCAGGGCAGCACUGUGGCCUCCUCGCUGGGCUCUCUGCUCCCAGCCUCGCCCUCUCUGCCAUUCUGUCUCCACUCAGCACCGAAGAGAUCUGGUCAAAAGUA